This 211-nucleotide ribosomal RNA is filed under the name uncultured bacterium. RNAcentral describes it as "partial 16S ribosomal RNA". It matches the Rfam family "Bacterial small subunit ribosomal RNA", at positions 524 to 732 of the family's 1533-position model. The record is from RNAcentral.
UACGUAGGGUGCGAGCGUUGUCCGGAAUUAUUGGGCGUAAAGAGCUCGUAGGCGGUCUGUCGCGUCGAUCGUGAAAACUUGGGGCUUAACCCUGAGCUUGCGGUCGAUACGGGCAUGACUGGAGUUCGGCAGGGGAGACUGGAAUUCCUGGUGUAGCGGUGAAAUGCGCAGAUAUCAGGAGGAACACCGGUGGCGAAGGCAGGAUCUCUGG